RNAcentral lists this ribosomal RNA (481 nucleotides) under uncultured bacterium. RNAcentral's name for it is "partial 16S ribosomal RNA". It matches the Rfam family "Bacterial small subunit ribosomal RNA", at positions 28 to 507 of the family's 1533-position model. The record is from RNAcentral.
GACGAACGUUGGCGGCGUGCUUAAUACAUGCAAGUCAACUGAAGCAGUGGUAGCAAUAUCGCUGUGGAGGUGGCGCACGGGUGAGUAACACGUAGGUAAUCUGCCUUCAGGUCUGGCAUAACUCCGGGAAACCGGGGCUAAUAGCAGAUGAUGCAGCGGCUCGACAUCGAGACAGUUGUUAAAGCUAUGGCGCCUGAAGAUGAGCCUGCGUCUGAUUAGCUAGUUGGCGUGGUAACGGCCCACCAAGGCAACGAUCAGUAGCUGGUCUGAGAGGAUGAUCAGCCACACUGGAACUGAGACACGGUCCAGACUCCUACGGGAGGCAGCAGUAAGGAAUAUUGCUCAAUGGGAGAAAUCCUGAAGCAGCAACGCCGCGUGAGGGACGAAGGGCUUUUGCUUGUAAACCUCUGUAGUGAGAGAAAAAAAUCCCAAUCUUUGGGACAUGAUGGUAUCUCAAAAGUAAGCCCCGGCUAACUACGUG